RNAcentral lists this ribosomal RNA (216 nucleotides) under uncultured bacterium. Its description in RNAcentral is "partial 16S ribosomal RNA". It matches the Rfam family "Bacterial small subunit ribosomal RNA", at positions 524 to 739 of the family's 1533-position model. The record is from RNAcentral.
GACGUAGGGUCCGAGCGUUGUCCGGAGUUACUGGGCGUAAAGGGCGCGUAGGCGGCUUUGUGCGUCACACGUGAAAGCCCCUGGCUUAACCAGGGAGGGUCGUGUGAAACGGCGAGCUGGAGGCAGAGAGAGGCUGGUGGAAUUCCCGGAGUAGUGGUGAAAUGCGUAGAUAUCGGGAGGAACACCGGUGGCGAAGGCGGCCAGCUGGCUGCUGAC